UAAAGGACAGGGGUAGUAAACGGAAUACAGGGCAACGAUAGGGAACCUUAGAGGGGUAGAGUUAGGGGACCGACCCCAGGCCUGGGAUCCGGAACCUUCUCUGGGGUAGAGUUAGGGGGCCGACCCCAGGGCUGGGAUCGGGAACCUUCUCUGGGGUAGAGUUAGGGGGCCGACCCCAGGGCUGGGAUCGGAACCUUCUCUGGGGUAGAGUUAGGGGGCCGACCCCAGGGCUGGGAUCGGAACCUUCUCUGGGGUAGAGUUAGGGGGCCGGCCCCAGGGCUGGGGAUCGGGAACCUUCUCUGGGGUAGAGUUAGGGGGCCGGCCCCAGGGCUGGGGAUCGGGAACCUUCUCUGGGGUAGAGUUAGGGGGCCGGCCCCAGGGCUGGGAUCGGGAACCUUCUCUGGGGUGGAGUUAGGGGGCCGACCCCAGGGCUGGGAUCGGAACCUUCUCUGGGGAAGAGUUAGGGGGCCGGCCCCAAGGCUGGGAUCGGGAACCUUCUCUGGGGUAGAGUUAGGGGGCCGGCCCCAGGGCUGGGGAUCGGGAACCUUCUCUGGGUUUCAGGGAGAAGAAGCCACGUUCACGUCAGAGCAGGCUGGAAUCUUGGAUCCUCCACCUGUUUGUGCCGCUGGCGAGUUACUUAACAACAGACCUGGAACACUGUACAACACGUGGGCCACACAGGGGAAGGCUUUAUACACUGGAACACCGGAGGUAGAGAUUCUGCAAUUAUUGACAAUACACAAAUUGGCAUAAGUAAGCUAAGAGAUUGUACCCAUGGAAUAUUCAAAUGUUGACUGAGUUAAAAUGGACAGAGUCAAGUGAGGAGCCCAGCAGUAGAUCAUGGAGACUAGAGAACACGCUCUCCACCCGAUCCCACCUCCCACUGAAUUUAUUUUCUUUAGAGGAAAGGGAGGGGUGUUCUAACCUGUUCUAAGAGUUGGGGGACUGUACAAAAUUUCAAGGAAAUACGGUAGCUUUGCCGUAUUUCAUCAGAGAACUAUGUGGGCUCCAAGCCUGUGAGAGGAACAAGCUCAAAUACACCAGUUCUCAUCUGAACAGAACGUGCUGCAGACUCAAGGUGGAGUAGCUUGAGGAAACUGUUUUCCAUCUAGCAAAUCCUCUGUGCACUAACGGAGGCGUCCUUAGGUCCCUGAAAUACAAAGACCAAUGGGAAACCCGCCUGGGAGGGAAAAAAGCAAGUUGAGUGUGAAGAUAGUUCUUAAGUGAACUCUGAUUGUAGGGGAAAGGACUCAGUGACUGAAGACACUGUUCAGAGUACACACGUACAGACUGUAAUGGAGGCCAGCUAAUGAAGGACAGUGAAUAUGACGAGCGACAGUGAAAAAAAAUGGACACAGUAUCAGAAUGUGGGCAAGGCUGAGCUAGACGCUGAUUUUACUUCAAAGCAGUGUCUCUAGGGAAUCUAACAAACUGGACGCCGGUGUCAUCUUAGACUUAAGGCAAAAUGCAUGACUGUGCUGUCGUGGUUGGUAGGGUCAUGAUUUAAAAACAUGCCCAUCUCAACUUCAGGUCAGAGCAAGUUCAGAAUGCAAAAUUUUUGGAUUUCUCAAAUCCUUUCCUAAGAACAAGCUAAACAGCGGGGAACAUGCCCCAUGCCCCUGAAAAGCAACUGAGAUAACACUCCCAUGAGUCCCAGGACACGGGUGAGCCUUGGCCCACCUACCCAGGACCCAUCCAGGGCAAGCAUGAGUCUAGCAGCUGUGCAGAGGCAGUGGAAGGGGAGAGAACAGGAGUUCUGAUGAUACAGAAAUGGCCUCCAAACACUCAGGAAGAGAGCGUCUCACCCUGGCGGAGCUCUCAGCCAGUGAAUAUGGUGAGAAUAGCAGUGAAAAAGAGAAGGUUCUAGUCUUCAGUUUCUGAGUCAGUAGAAUAACAAGAUGUCAGCUACCCACUAAGGGACCCUGGAGAGAUCAGAAGGUUUUGGAGUGGCUUAAGCACUCAAACAACUCCAAAAUAGCGGACAAAACUUCUUCCCUGUGAAAAAUCCUUCCAUGAAGAGAAUUUGGAUUGAGAGAGUGAGUCAGAAGGUAAAGGGCCAUGAGGCUUUGAACAGUGGGAGGCAAGGGGGCAGUUGAGAGGAGACAGAACCCUGACAGCGACGUGACUAGGCUACCUACCUCUACACGCAUCUACUUUUCUCUCUUUCUAUUACCUCUACCUGUCACUCUGGGUUCCUAUCUGUCUAUCAUCUGUCCAUCACUGACCUGUCUGUCCAUCAUGUGCUAAUAAUAGAGGAAGAAACCCUCAGCAGUGAAGCUACUAAGGCUACUAUGGAGCAUCCCAGUCCCCUACAGGGGAACCACUUUGGAAAGUCACGGAACACUUGACUUUACACAUAAACAACACAGAAAAAUAGUCUAACACCGAACAAAUAUAUUACUGUAGAAAAUGAAAAAAUGAUGAAACAAUGGAUAGUGAAUGUAUAACAGAAAAUACACAGUCAAAAAGAGAUAGAAGGGGUUGGUGCUGUGGUAUAGCAGGUAAAGCCACCGCCUGCAGUGGCAGCAUCCCAUAUGGGCACCAGUUCGAGUCCUGGCUGCUCCACUUCCUAUCCAGCUCUCUGCUAUGGCCUGGGAAAGCAGUAGAAGAUGGCCCAAGUCCUUGGGCCUCUGCACCCAUGUGGGAGACCCAGAAGUUCCUGGCUCCUGGCUUUAGAUCGGCCCAGCUCUGGCCACUGUGCCCAUUUGGAGAGUGACCAGCAGAUGGAAAGAACUUUCUCUCUGUUUCUCCCUCUCUCUGUCUGUGACUCUUUCUCUCAAAUAAAAUAAAUCCUUGGGGGGGGGGGGAGGGGGGA
This 2815-nucleotide long non-coding RNA is filed under the name Oryctolagus cuniculus (rabbit). RNAcentral describes it as "lncRNA (ENSOCUG00000034546.1)". Lineage: Eukaryota; Metazoa; Chordata; Mammalia; Lagomorpha; Leporidae. The record is from RNAcentral.